Molecule: long non-coding RNA, 6879 nt
Filed under: Cucumis sativus (cucumber)
Lineage: Eukaryota; Viridiplantae; Streptophyta; Magnoliopsida; Cucurbitales; Cucurbitaceae
Description: long non-coding RNA (CSAT_LNC001691)
Source: RNAcentral
AAUUAAACAACAUGGAAACAAAAAAGACAUUGGAAUGAGCAUAGAAGAUGUUAUUGAAGAAUGCAAGCUUUUCUAUAUUGCUGGCCAAGAAACUACAGCAACAUUACUAGUCUGGACGAUGAUAUUGUUGAGUUCAUACUCAGAAUGGCAAGAGCGUGCAAGAGCAGAAGUCUUUGAGAUCUUUGGUAACAAGCAACCAAAUUAUGAUGGUUUAAAUAGACUAAAAGUUGUAAGUGUGAUAUCAUUCUCCAACGUUUACUCUCUAUUAAUCUUUUUUUUUUCAUUUUGAUUUCAUCUCAUAUGUGAAAUUUAAAUGCCCAUCUUCUAGUAUAAAACAAUCACAUGAGCAAGUUUUGGAGGUAUGAGUGAAUAUUCUUGGAAUGUUUUCUAACUAAAUCUCAAUCAAGCUUAUUGUCUUUAGAAGUUGAAGAGUAUAAAGGCUACGUGAUAAUUAAACUUGACAUCUAAGAAGCACAAACAUUUUAAUUUAACUAGGGUGUUUGUGUGUCAGACACUUAAGACACUCUAAUAGGUUUCAAACACCUUGUUAGUAUAAUAGAUUUAUGUUAGAAAACUAGUUGUACAGUGUCAAACAAGUCCAACAUUUAUUUAUAUGCAACCAAUGAUGAUUGGUAUACUAAAUAAUUUAUAAGCAUAUAAAUGAAGGACUUCUUUGACCUUGAAGUUUUUUUCUUGUAUAAAACUGGAUUAAACAUGUCCUUAUAAUGCCCAUGUCCUCAUUUAUAACAGUGGCCACUAUGUGGUCUCGUGUCGUGUCAUAUUCAUAUAUUGUAUUUGUAUAUGUGUUUCUUAGCAAGAUAAGUUGUAAAAGAGUGACACAUUGGCAUGUGACUUUUGAGAAUAAUGUGUCCUAAAAAGGUAUGUACAUGACAAGUGGCUUUUGCAAUGGUGCAGGUAACUAUGAUCUUCAAUGAGGUCCUCAGGUUAUACCCACCAGGGAGUCUGUUUGUUCGCAUUGUUAGGAAAGAAACAAGACUUGGAAAUUUGACUUUACCAGGAGGAGUAAUGUUAGGCUUACCAAUUGUUCUUAUCCAACGUGACCCUGAGUUAUGGGGAGAAGAUGCACAUGAAUUCAAUCCAGAGAGAUUUUCUGGAGGAGUUUCUAAAGCAACAAAAAAUCCAAGUGCUUUUAUACCAUUUGGAUGGGGUCCUAGAAUAUGCAUAGGACAAACCUUUGCUAUGAUUGAAGCAAAAAUGGCAUUAUCAAUGAUUCUACAACGUUUCUCAUUUGAGCUUUCGCCAUCGUACACACACUCUCCCAUUGCCAGUUUAACAACACAACCUCAACAUGGAGCUCAUAUCAUACUACACAAACUCUAGCUACCCUCUUAAAAUAUAUAUUAUUAGCUUGCAAAUUAUAAAAAGGCUAGGAAAGUACUCUGCUGCUUUGUCUAUGUAUAAUUUCAAAUCCUUUGUGAAAAAGAUACCUACACAAGGAAUUGAUAUCCUUUCAACUAGACACCUUUUCACUGCUACCCAGCACCUAAAUAAUAAACAGUUUUCAGGCUUGGGAUGUGAUUAAUGCUUGUUAUUGCACCAUUUUCUACUAAUAUUCACAAACUUUUCACCAUUUGAAAGGAAACUCAAUAUCCCUAGUCAAAUUUAUGCACUACAACUUUUGAAAACUAACCUUUCUUUCUCAUUAGUCCCCCUCAACAGCAUUCUACCAUAAAAUAUUCCAUACAUAAAACAAAAUGAUCAAAAUGAGAUGAUGAGACUGUAAACACCAAUUGUAAUACCCAAACACAGAAAUUCAAGAAGAGAAGUCUGUAAUUCUUGGAAACAUCUAACUAAAAUAACAUUAUUAGUUCAGACUAUAGUUUUGUUUGAUUAGAGUUCAUACAAAAGUACAUAAAUAAAAAUGGUCAAAAUCUAAAUGGUUGCGUUGCAUAUAUAAAUGACAACACAACAUGACAUAGAGGUAACUAAGAUUUGUAAAUGAGAUAAUUCUUAGACCAAUGGAUCAAGUCGUGCAAAAUGAAACAAAACUUAACCAACUAUUUUACCUAAACUGAUUGGGAUUUAUGGGGUGAGGGGCACAUGAGUUUACCAAAAAAAAUUAGAUAAAAGUUUAGUGAUAAUAAUCACUAAUACUUCUAACUAUAAAUAUUUAAAAAUGGAGUGAUUGAUAAUUAAAAUUAACCAAAAAAUUAGAAAAGGUAACUGAAUAAUAAAUUACAAACUCUAAAUAGAAAAUUUUGAGACCAAUCACAAAUUGUCACAUCAUUUACUAAAUUAAUGAUGAAAAAUACAAAUAUUUAAAUUUGAAACUAAUUAAAAAAUUGACAGGUGUCCUAAAUUAAAAUUGAAAACAUAAAUGAGUCAAUUCUAAUGAUGUCACAUGUUUUCAUUAUGACCGUUGGAUCAAGUUAAUUAUUUUGGUUCAAUUAAAUAUUAUGUACUUGAGCUAAGUUCAAAUGAGCCCAAAAGUAAGCUUAAUUUAGCUCGAAUACUAAAUAUGACCCAUAUCCAUAUUCAUGUGGUUAAGUCCAUAGGUCUAGUCCAUAGACCAACUAGACUCAACCCAUAAAGUUCAUCAAAGAACUCUAUAAAAAGAGGAGUUCUCCUCAUUUGUAAGAAGUUGAUCACCCUUGAAGAUUGAAGCUAUUUUGAAGAUACAAGAUAUCUUCCAAGACUCCAACUUCAACAAGCUCUCUUCCAAUACUCCAAAGAAUUUACCCAAGAGCUAGAAGACUCCCUAGCUUCUGAAGUCGACCGACCUCGAAGAUUAAAGCUCAUUUGAAGAUACAAGAUCUCUCUUCCAACACUCCAACUUCCCUCGAAGAUUAAAGCUCCUUUGAGUUUUCUUCUAAGACUCCAACUUCUCCAACUUCAAGAACAUCACGUGCUUUGCUUCCUCCAAAUCAAGCGUAGACGUUCAAUCGAGAGAGAAUCAAAUGAUCAAAUUCUAGCAAUCGAACCACAUCGCAUCAAAUCAACAAAACUAUAACAUCAACUUAAGUUCAACUCCACAAAUCAAAUUUCUUCAAAAAUCUUGUGCGAACAAAUUGGCAUGUCCAGUAAGACCUCUCUAUUUCUCAUCUCUCUCUCGCAUCAAAUCAACACAAGCACAACAUCAACUCAAGUUCAACUCCACGAAUCAAAUUUCUUCGAAAAUCUCGUGCGAACAAAUCUACAUACCUAAACCCAUGGACUCAACCACAUGGAUUUUGGUCAUAUUUAGCAUUUGGGCUCAAGUAAUCUUAUUUUUGGGCUCAAUUGAACUUAGCCCAAGUAAACAAUAUUUAAUUGAAUCAAAACAAUUAACUUAAUCUAACGGUUAGGAUGAAAACAUGUGACAUCAUCAUAAUUGGCCAAUUUAUGUUUUCAAUUUUAAUUUGGGACGCAUGUCAAUUUUUUUAAUCAGUCUCAAAUUCAAUUAUUUCUACUUUUCAUCGUUAAUUUAGUAAAUGAUGUGACAAUUUGCGAUUGGUCUAAAAAUUUCCUAUUCAACCGCUGAAAAUGGAACGAAGCAUGAGCUUUCCACACCGAUGACCAAUGCCCAUUGCCCGUUCUUCUUUUUACCAAAUAGGCCAUUAAUAAUAAAAAUAUCUUUUUAACUUUUCUCAUAAGAUAAAGAAAAGUGAACAAAUUAAAAAAAACACACAACAAUCAAAAUUAAACUGGAAUUUCUUCUAUGAUGGAUAAAUCUUCAAACCAAAUUGUUUGUGUGUUUAAUCUUUAAACACAUUAAAUUAAGUAAGCUCAUGUACAACAAAAUUAAAGACACUCCUAACAAAGGAAGUAGUCUAAUGCAAUACAACGAGAAUGAAUCUCACUAUAAUAAUAUCCUUAGACACAACGAGGAAUGAUGAAUAAAAUUUUGUAGUUUUACAACGAUGAUUGAUGACAUAUUUGUUAAAAGUAUAUGCAUCUACAAAAGAGAAAACACAACGUCCAAGAGACGAAUACAAAUUUUGUCCAACUUUCACUUCUGUGUUCGAAAUAUUAUUUUAAUUUUCAAUUUUAUGUUAAGUUAGUCUCUCAUAUAUCUCUCCUUCCAAAAAAACAAAAGUAAUUUAUAUAUUUUGGAAGUUUAAACCAAUUUCCAUCUAUGGGAAUUGAAAUUAAACAGUAUGCCGGCACACAUUCAUUUUUCUUUCUUUUCAAUAAAAACAAAAAUGAUGGUGAGGAUUACAAUGCAACAUAACAACUCUUUUUAGUUCAACAACAUACCAAUUAUUGUUUCACUUCAAUCUAUUCUUUUUCUUUUUGACAACACAUCAAUUGUUUUUUACAACAUUACGAAAGUAUCAUUCAAAUAUAAAUUACUGAUCAAUUCUUACUUUAUAUAUAUAUAUAUAUAUAUUAUAUAGAAAAAAAGAGUCAAGUAUUAUUUUCUAUGGCACAAAUGUUUUUCUUUUUAAAUAAUUCUUUAUUUUUAUAAUCAUUAAAUUGUAUAUAUAUAUAUAUAUAUUAUUGUGAUAAGAAUUGCAUAGAUUGUGGGGUUGUAAAUGGAGAAGAGAGAAGAGAAGUAAGAGAACUGAAAACCCCAAAGUUCAGUUAAUUGAGAUUUACAAAGAUGUCGUAUGUUGUAGAUACGAUUUCAAAUCGCAUAGUAAUGAUAAUCAGUUUCGUUUUAUUGUUAGUAUUAUUAAUAUUGGGAUGGAAAAUAGUUGAUUGGAUUUGGUUCCGCCCGAAGAAACUAGAGAAGCUUUUAAGACGGCAAGGAUUCACCGGAAAUUCAUACCGGAUUCUCCACGGCGACUUGAAGGAGAGUGCCGCCAUGAGAAAGGAAGCAAUGUCCAAGCCCAUGAACUUCUCCAAUCAUAUUGCUCCACGUGUCAUUCCCUCUGUCUAUCAUACCAUCCAAAUUUAUGGUAAACACUUUAUCCCCAACAUUUCCUUCUCAUCCUUUUCUUCUUCUUCAAAUAAGAUUUAAAGAAAUAAAUAAAAAUUAGGGUUUGAUUUAUUUUAUUACAUUUUUGUUUUGUGUUUGAAAAUUAAUUUUAUAAACUUUUAUUAUUUCAUCUCUAUUUUCAAUCAAUCCUUUACAAAACCAUGUAAAUUUUUAAACACUAAAACUACCCUACUUUUUUUCCUUCUUAGAAUAAUUUACUUAUUUUUACUUGAGAAAAAUUAAAACGUGUAAGCAAAUGGAAGGCUUAAUUUAAUUUAAUUUAAUUUAAUUUAAUUUUGUUUUUUUAAAAGAAAAUUAAAACAAUAAAACACAUAUUCCAAGUAACAAUUUGAAUAUUUGGAAAGAUAUAAUUUCAAUUUUAUAACAAUUUAGUCAUAAUUGAAAUCUAUCUUCAACUUUUAUUAUUUUAUGAGGUAUAAUAUACUAUGUAUUUGGUAAAAAUACCUUGUCACUUAUUAGUUUUUCGGCUUAUUAAUGAAAGAAAUUUUAUUCAAUUGUAACACUAAAUUCUAGUAUAGAAUUUAAAUAAUUACAAAUUUUAUAGGAUAAUAACUAAAUUUUUAUAUAGGAACUAAAUUGCUAUAUUGUUGUAAUAGCUCCAAGAAGUAAAAGUAUAUAUAUCAAUGGUCCUCGAAGUUAUGUUUACUGAAUUUCUACACAAAUUAGGAUUCUAAUAUAUUCAGCAGUCAACCUAAUAUAUACAUAGUUUAACAGAUUAAAAUAGAGAUCAUUGGAUAAAAAAAUUGAAAAAUUAUUUUAAAGGGUAGAAGUGUUCAAAAUAUUUUACAUCUAUCACUUCAGUAAAACUAUGCCUAAAAUGGAUUAUCAAGUCCCAAUAUAUAUGUUGAUUUUGAACUGUGCAGGCAAGAAUUCAUUUAUGUGGCUUGGUCCCAUGCCAAGAGUGCACAUAAUGGACCCUGAACAAAUCAAAACUGUGUUCUCAUUCAUCAAUGAUUUUCAAAAGCCAACUAUGAAUCCCCUUACCAGGUUGCUCGUACAAGGAAUUGCAAAUCUUGAAGGAGAAAAAUGGGCCAAACACAGAAAGAUAAUCAACCCUGCAUUUCAUUUAGAAAAGCUUAAGGUAUCUAUAUCUUUUUGUAAGAGUGAGAGAGAUUACUAUUUCUACUUCUUCUCUUCGGGUUUGAUAACCAUUUUGGUUUUUUUUUUCAAAAUACAUUUUUAUUAUUAUCUCUACUUCCUAAGAAACAAGAAAUAUAAUAGAAAGCGAAAAAAGUUAUCAAACGAAGCACAAAAUUUCAAGUUCUCACGCAUACGUUUACGUUGGCUUGUAGGAUAUGGUACCAGCAUUCUAUCACAGUUGUAACGAGAUGGUUAGCAAGUGGGAAAGUAUGGUCUCUAGAGAGGGAUCAUGUGAGUUAGAUGUAAUGCCUUGUCUUAAAAAUAUGGCUUCUGAUGUGAUUUCUCGAACUGCAUUUGGGAGUAGCUAUGAGAAAGGAAAAAAGAUCUUCAAGCUUCAAACUGAACUAGGUAAUUUGGUGAUUCAAGCUAGCUUAGGGAUAUAUAUUCCAGGAUGGAGGUAAAAACACUAUCCAUCUACAACAUGAUUAUAUAUACAUCUAUUGUGAAAGAAUUCAUAUCAUGAUUAAUAUUUUUUGUGCAGUUUUCUACCCACAAAGUCGAACAGGAAAAUGAAAGAAAUAAGUAAAGAGAUAACAACUUUGAUAUUGGGUAUUAUGAAUGAAAGGGAAAAGUCUAUGAAUGCAGGCGAAGCAAUACAAACUGAUCUGUUAAGCAUUCUCAUGGAAUCCAAUAUGAAUGAAAUUAAACAACAUGGAAACAAUAAGGACAUUGGAAUGAGCAUAGAAGAAGUUAUUGAAGAAUGCAAGCUUUUCUAUAUUGCUGGCCAAGAAACUACAGCAACGUUACUAGUCUGGACGAUGGUAUUGUUGAGUUCGUACUCAGAAUGGCAAGAGCGUGCAAGAGCAGAAGUCUUUGAGAUCUUUGGUAACAAGAAACCAAAUUAUGAUGGUUUAAAU